GAUGAACGCUGGCGGCGUGCCUAAUACAUGCAAGUAGAACGCUGAAGCUUGGUGCUUGCACCGAGCGGAUGAGUUGCAAACGGGUGAGUAACGCGUAGGUAACCUGCCUCUUAGCGGGGGAUAACUAUUGGAAACGAUAGCUAAUACCGCAUAAAAGUUGACAUUGCAUGAUGUUGAUUUGAAAGAUGCAAUUGCAUCACUAAGAGAUGGACCUGCGUUGUAUUAGCUAGUUGGUGAAGUAACGGCUCACCAAGGCGACGAUACAUAGCCGACCUGAGAGGGUGAUCGGCCACACUGGGACUGAGACACGGCCCAGACUCCUACGGGAGGCAGCAGUAGGGAAUCUUCGGCAAUGGACGGAAGUCUGACCGAGCAACGCCGCGUGAGUGAAGAAGGUUUUCGGAUCGUAAAGCUCUGUUGUAAGAGAAGAACGAGUGUGAGAGUGGAAAGUUCACACUGUGACGGUAACUGACCAGAAAGGGACGGCUAACUACGUG
This 497-nucleotide ribosomal RNA is filed under the name uncultured bacterium. Its description in RNAcentral is "partial 16S ribosomal RNA". It matches the Rfam family "Bacterial small subunit ribosomal RNA", at positions 28 to 507 of the family's 1533-position model. The record is from RNAcentral.